RNAcentral lists this unclassified non-coding RNA (728 nucleotides) under Hevea brasiliensis (rubber tree). The record is from RNAcentral. Lineage: Eukaryota; Viridiplantae; Streptophyta; Magnoliopsida; Malpighiales; Euphorbiaceae.
GGAUCUUGUGAAUCUUGCAGCAUGAAGUUCUAUAUGGGUUUGGGUUCUAAGGUCAAGAGGCUGUUCAUCCAAUCCCCUGCUAAGAAGCAGGUUUUGGUUGGGGAGGUCAAAGAUGGUGGAUUGGGUGUUGAGAGCAAGAUGGCUGGCAAGAGCCAUGAUUUUGGAAGUAAAGAAGAAUCCUUCUUUGAUUCACGACCAUGGCUAGACUCCGACGCUGAAGAUGAUUUUUACAGCGUGAAUGGAGAGUUCACUCCAUCAAGAGGCAAUACACCAAACCAUCAAACAAGCAUUCGAGUCGCCCCUGAUCUGAACAAAGCCCUCUUUAUCAACAAAUUUCAGCAAGCCAAAUCUGAAUCGUCAUCCUCUGCGACCUCGCCUUCUGGUAGGAAGAAACUAGCCGAGCUUUUCCAGGAAUCCUUUGAAGGAGAACAAACGAUCAAUGAAAAUACUACCGAGGCCAGUACAGAGAAUGACACUCCGUGUAGCGGCAGUGAGGCGACUCCAAGUCGAGUUUCUAAAAGGAAGAAAGAGAGGAGAGCGAGGGCCAUGAGCUGCUGCUUGCCCAGCAUGGUACACAGCUUCAGUUUCAAUGAGAGGAGGCAGAAGAUGAGCCCAGCGAGCCGCAGCGCCUGAGGUGACCUCGACUCGAAGAGAAUGUCUCCCUCCUUUCCUAGAGGAUAUACUUGAACUCAAGGAAUUAAACUUUGCUUUUGUGACCAUGAGGAGCU